This 449-nucleotide ribosomal RNA is filed under the name uncultured bacterium. RNAcentral describes it as "partial 16S ribosomal RNA". It matches the Rfam family "Bacterial small subunit ribosomal RNA", at positions 28 to 523 of the family's 1533-position model. The record is from RNAcentral.
GGCGAACGCUGGCGGCAGGCCUAACACAUGCGAGUCGAACGAACUCUUCGGAGUUAGUGGCGGACGGGUGAGGAGCACGUGGGAACGUGCCUUUAGGUUCGGAAGAAAUCAGGGAAACUUGUGCUAAUACCGAAUGUGCCCUUCGGGGGAAAGAUUGAUCGGCUUUAGAGCGGCCCGCGGCUGAUUAGCUAGUUGGUGAGGUAAAGGCUCACCAAGGCGACGAUCAGUAGCUGGUUUGAGAGGAUGAUCAGCCACAUUGGGAAUGAGACACGGACCAAACUUCUACGGGAGGCAGCAGUGGGGAAUCUUGAGCAAUGGGCGAAAGCCUGACGCAGCCAUGCCGCGUGAAUGAUGAAGGUCUUAGGAUUGUAAAAUUCUUUCACCGGGGACGAUAAUGACGGUACCCGGAGAAGAAGCCCCGGCUAACUUCGUGCCAGCCGCCGCAGUAA